GCCUACGUGGUGUAACGGUUAGCACACUCGGCGCGUAUUCGAGAGGUCCAGGUUCGAGUCCCGCCGAGGGCA
This 72-nucleotide transfer RNA is filed under the name Stegodyphus mimosarum. It matches the Rfam family "tRNA". From Rfam's summary of the family: Transfer RNA (tRNA) molecules are approximately 80 nucleotides in length. Their secondary structure includes four short double-helical elements and three loops (D, anti-codon, and T loops). Lineage: Eukaryota; Metazoa; Arthropoda; Arachnida; Araneae; Eresidae. The record is from Rfam by way of RNAcentral.